GGGAAAGUGGCUCAGUGGUAGAGCGCUUGCCUUGCAUGCAUGAGACCCUGGGUUCGAUUCCUCAGUACCA
This 70-nucleotide transfer RNA is filed under the name Dipodomys ordii (Ord's kangaroo rat). It matches the Rfam family "tRNA". Rfam says of the family: Transfer RNA (tRNA) molecules are approximately 80 nucleotides in length. Their secondary structure includes four short double-helical elements and three loops (D, anti-codon, and T loops). Lineage: Eukaryota; Metazoa; Chordata; Mammalia; Rodentia; Heteromyidae. The record is from Rfam by way of RNAcentral.